Molecule: ribosomal RNA, 576 nt
Filed under: uncultured eukaryote
Lineage: Eukaryota
Description: bacterial SSU rRNA
Rfam family: Eukaryotic small subunit ribosomal RNA
Source: RNAcentral
CAAGUUGUUGGCGAUCCAGACUCAUGAAUGAAUUCGGAGAAAAGGGACAAUUUGUGUAUGAAUAGGUAGGCAACUACAGUUGUUCAAGUUUUCUAAAGGUUUCUUACCUAUCAGCUUUCGACGGUACGGUAUUGGCGUAACGUGGCUGUGACGGGUGACGGGGAAUUAGGGUUCGAUUCCGGAGAGGGAGCCUGGGAAACGGCUGCCACCUCCAAGGAGGGCAGCAGGCGCGCAAAUUACCCAAUUCUGAAUUAGGGAGGUAGUGACGAGAAAUAACGACACAGAGCAAGAAAUUGUUUCGUGAUAGGAAUGGAGUUUACACAAAUAGUGAACUGAGGAUCUAUUGGAGGGCAAGUCUGGUGCCAGCAGCCGCGGUAAUUCCAGCUUCAAUAGCGUAUAUUAAAGUUGUUGCAGUUAAAAAGCUCGUAGUUGAACCUUGGGCCCGGCUGGCCGGUCCGCCUCACCGCGUGUACUGGUCCGGCCGGGCCUUUCCCUCCGUGGAACCUCAUGCCCUUCACUGGGUGUGACGGGGAAGCAGGACUUUUACUGUGAAAAAAUUAGAGUGCUCCAAGCAGG